This is a microRNA precursor of Chloebia gouldiae (Gouldian finch), 90 nucleotides long. The record is from Ensembl. NCBI's taxonomy places the organism in Eukaryota, Metazoa, Chordata, Aves, Passeriformes, Passeridae.
AAACUGCCUUUGCUGUUUUAGGGUAGGAGGAGAGAGGUGUUACUUUAGAAGCUGCCACCUCGCCCAUCCUCUCCUCUGCAGGAGCAGCCA